GAGAGGAGCUUGGGAACGGUUGCUAGGGGUGGGUAAUGGGUAAAAAAAGGGGGGCGCCGGGGAGCGGAUAAGGAGGGUUAAGGGAGGGGGCGAGGGUGGGGAGCAAUGCAAAAGGUAAGGCCAGGUUACCGCGGCUCGGCCCCGAGUGGGCUGCGGCCGGGGGAGGGGCGAGAGAUACAUAUGUAUUUCUGUCUCCCUAGCACACCCCCUUCCCUCUAAGCGAUGGCUGAGAGGCGGUGCAUGCAGAUGGGGAGUAAGUUUCCUGAAGGGGAGGGUGGAUGCACGCGCGCGGCCCCGCGCUGCAAAUUUCCACCGGGGAGGGAGAGUGGCUGGAUGCGGAGAGUUUGGAGUUGCUUGCAGCGGAGGGCAGGAAGGGGAGCAGGGCCGGGAAAGGGGGCUGGCGGGCGCUAUAUCUGGGAGUAAGUUUCCAGGAACGGGAGAGCCUGCACGCUUGCUCGCUACUCUGCUCGCCCCUCAUCUCACCCCCCAGGCGAAGACUGGUCUUCUUGUCGGAUUGCCCAUGCACUUGUUGCAGAAACAGCCAAGCCUCUUCAGACGUCUGCGUGGUUGAGAUGAGAGGACUUAGGCCAGAAGGAGGGCCACGUGGUUGCCCCUGUAUGUUGACCUCGUCCUUCGCAUCGCCCCGCAGGUACAGAACCAGGCCUCCUCUCCCCACCUGCCCAGCAGCAUGAGAGCAGCAUGACUGGCCGGCCACAGGAGAAGCCCCCAGAGCCAGGCCCCCAUCUCAACCAGCUGCUGCAGAAGUCAAGGUAAGCUUGUUCCCCUUCUCCUGGAAGGGGUGGGCAUUUUUCAUUUGAACUAAUGUGCUAUGAUUUUAUAAUCAUUUGCCAUGUACUGGAAGAAUAGUGUUUACUGGGAUAUGGGUAGCCUGAAAAGGUGCAUGUCAGCCUAAUGGGGCAAAAUGUCUUUGUUUCGGUUAUUGGAGAAGCCAGUGAUGAAGCAGAAAGGACAUGGAAUUGAGUUUCUGGGGACUGAAGCUGUCAUUAUUCCUCCACCACCUUCUGAAUCUGGGACUUUGGACAGGUCUUUUAGGGAUCAGGUAUAUUGGGCUUCCCUGGUGGCUCCGUGGUAAAGAAUCUGCCUGCUAACUGAGGAGACUCAAGUUCGAUCCCUGGGUCAGGAAGAUACCCUGGAGGGGAGCAUGGCAACCCACUCUAGGACUCUUGCCUGGGAAAUCCCAUGGACAGAGGCGCCUGGUGGCUACAGCCUAUNNNNNNNNNNNNNNNNNNNNNNNNNNNNNNNNNNNNNNNNNNNNNNNNNNNNNNNNNNNNNNNNNNNNNNNNNNNNNNNNNNNNNNNNNNNNNNNNNNNAGAGGCGCCUGGUGGCUACAGCCUAUGGGAUCAUAGGAGUGGGGUAUGACUAAGUGACUAAUCAAAAACAGCAUCCGGGACUCUGCGGGUGAAGGAAUCUCUGGAAUAGGAUAGAAUUGGGUGGAUGGCCUGGGACUCACAGAAUGCCAUAAACAGAGUCUCCUUUCCCACGCAGGGUUGUAAGGGGCCUUCAAAGGAUCAACCAGGUCAAUUCUUGGCCAGUGUUGAGCAGUGAAUUGUUAGAAAAUUCCUACUAAUGUUGGUACAAAUACUUCCUCUCUGCAGUUUCUGUUUUUUCUCCUCUGCUCUGCCACGUGGAGCCACAAAGACUGGGCUUUCAAAGACUCUUGCACGUGAGCCUCUUUGAAUUUGAUGAGGACUGUCAUAACUCUGCUUUUCUUAAAGAGAAAAUUCUCUGUGGAGACGGGUGCCACUCACCUGGUUCUCUUGUCCCCUCCAUGCUGGAAGGGUCUUAAUCUCCUCAAGUUUGGUCCUGCCAGUUGCCCACCUGACCUGUAUCUUCCUCAACACAGACUCCAUUCACCAUUAAUUCUUCAGGACAUACUAAGUUCCCCCUUUGUGACAGUCACUGAACUAGACCCUGCAGAUACAUCAGUUCAGUUCAGUCGCUCAGUCGUGUCCAACUCUUUGCGACCCC
This 1989-nucleotide long non-coding RNA is filed under the name Capra hircus (goat). RNAcentral's name for it is "lncRNA (ENSCHIG00010029911.1)". Lineage: Eukaryota; Metazoa; Chordata; Mammalia; Artiodactyla; Bovidae. The record is from RNAcentral.